ACUCCUACGGGAGGCAGCAGUAGGGAAUCUUCCGCAAUGGGCGAAAGCCUGACGGAGCAACGCCGCGUGAGUGAAGAAGGUCUUCGGAUCGUAAAACUCUGUUAUUAGGGAAGAACAAAUGGUGUAAAGUAACUAUGCACGUUCUUGACGGUACCUAAUCAGAAAGACCACGGCUAACUACGUGCCAGCAGCCGCGGUAAUACGUAGGUGGCAAGCGUUAUCCGGAAUUAUUGGGCGUAAAGCGCGCGUAGGCGGUUUUUUAAGUCUGAUGUGAAAGCCCACGCUCAACCGUGGAGGGUCAUUGGAAACAUGGAAAACUUGAGUGCAGAAGGAGGAAAAGUGGAAUUCCAUGUGUAGCGGUGAAAUGCGCAGAGAUAUGGAGG
This 383-nucleotide ribosomal RNA is filed under the name uncultured bacterium. RNAcentral's name for it is "bacterial SSU rRNA". It matches the Rfam family "Bacterial small subunit ribosomal RNA", at positions 335 to 704 of the family's 1533-position model. The record is from RNAcentral.